UGGGGAAUCUUGGACAAUGGGCGCAAGCCUGAUCCAGCCAUGCCGCGUGCGGGAAGAAGGCCUUCGGGUUGUAAACCGCUUUUGUCAGGGAAGAAACGCUCUGGGCUAAUACCCUGGGGUAAUGACGGUACCUGAAGAAUAAGCACCGGCUAACUACGUGCCAGCAGCCGCGGUAAUACGUAGGGUGCAAGCGUUAAUCGGAAUUACUGGGCGUAAAGCGUGCGCAGGCGGUUAUGCAAGACAGAUGUGAAGUCCCCGGGCUCAACCUGGGAACUGCAUUUGUGACUGUAUAGCUAGAGUACGGUAGAGGGGGAUGGAAUUCCGCGUGUAGCAGUGAAAUGCGUAGAUAUGCGGAGGAACACCGAUGGCGAAGGCAAUCCCCUGGACCUGUACUGACGCUCAUGCACGAAAGCGUGGGGAGCAAACAGGAUUAGAUACCCUAGUAGUCCCUGAGCGGGCUGGCAAGGCGCAU
RNAcentral lists this ribosomal RNA (472 nucleotides) under uncultured bacterium. Its description in RNAcentral is "bacterial SSU rRNA". It matches the Rfam family "Bacterial small subunit ribosomal RNA", at positions 355 to 825 of the family's 1533-position model. The record is from RNAcentral.